This 1298-nucleotide long non-coding RNA is filed under the name Anolis carolinensis (green anole). RNAcentral describes it as "lncRNA (ENSACAG00000044697.1)". The record is from RNAcentral. Lineage: Eukaryota; Metazoa; Chordata; Lepidosauria; Squamata; Anolidae.
UACCAUACAAGGAAUAUGCAUUUGAGAGAAAGGCUCACUAUAGUGAGUAGGUUGACAUGUUCCCUAUCCACACUAACCUUCUACUUCAGGUGAAGUUCUGUUUGGAUCUAGUUUAUGGUUACUUAUUUCCAGACAAAUAAAUAUAGAAUCAAGAGGCAUAUGACAUGAAGAGACAUGUUAUUAAGCCUUCUGAUAUGUUUCUCCAUAUGAAUUUGAAUUAUUGGUGAAUUAUUUGCUGCUGUCUUUGCUGCUGUCUUACACUUGUUACAACGGGGGUAUAUAAUUGGCUCCUCAUUUUCUCAGUCUUUUUGCAAACUUCUCAAGGCUUGAAGAGACUACAAGCUUAAGAGGAAGCUUAUAAGUCCCUAUUGAGUCUCCUAGUUGGAGAGAAAGGCAGGGUAUAAAUAAACAUAAUAAUAAUAACAACAACAACAACAUAGGGCAGCAAUGGAGCUAGUCCGCAAGUCCUGCCAGCUGCCCACUUCUGCCUUAUAAAGAAAUGUAGAUUGAAUCUGCAGAUCAUAUUAUAUUUUGGGGGUGGGCUCAAUAUAUUUCCAGUGUUUCCACUUUCAUGGAAGAUCUGUGCCACGGAAGUGGAGGAUCGACUGUAAAUCAACCAAAGAGCAAAUCAAGCCUGAGCUCUCCCUAGAAGCCAAGAUGAUUAAACUGAGGCUGUUGUACUCUGGACAUAUCAUGAGAAGAUAUGGCUCACUAGAAAAGACAAUGUUUGGUAAUGUGGAAAGCAAUAGAAAAAGAAGAAACUGCAUCCCGAUAGACUCAAUCAAGGAAGCCACAGUUCUGAGAACUUUGAAAACUAGCAUUCUUCAAGAUCCAGUGUUGCCAUCAGAAUUACAUCACUGUAAUCCAAAAUGAAAAAAGAGAUAAUGCCAGAAGAUGACACUUCCAGGUUGCUUCACAGUGGUUUCAAAACACAGAGGCACAAUCUCCUCUAGUACAAACUAAUCAGUCAACAAACACAAGAUGAAGACUCACAGAUUGGAAAUGCUCAAUAUAUAUAUUCCAAUUACCAAGAAAAAUAUAACAGUGGGACACCAGUGACCACUAUUGCAUCACUGGUAAAGUUGAAAGGAAUAGAAAAAGAAGAAAAAAUUCAGGACCUGCCUAUCUCCGUGAUCGCCUCCUCUCCUAUGAACCAACGCGAACCCUAAGAUCAUCUGGGGAGGCGCUCCUCUCGCUCCCGUCUUUGUCUCAAAUGCGGCUGGUGGGGACAAGGGAGAGUGCCUUCUCGGCAGUGGCCCCCCGGCUCUGGAACUCUCUCCCUAAGGAGAUCAGGUUAG